GAUGAACGCUGGCGGCGUGCUUAACACAUGCAAGUCGAGCGAACGGACGCGAAGCUUGCUUCUUUGAUGUUAGCGGCGGACGGGUGAGUAACACGUGGAUAACCUACUUAUAUGACUGGGAUAACUUCGGGAAACCGUAGCUAAUACCGGAGAAUAUUUUGAACCGCAUGGUUCAUAAGUGAAAGACGGUCUUGCUGUCAGUUAUAGAGGGAUCCGCGCUGCUUUAGCUAGUUGGUAAGGUAAAGGCUUACCAAGGCAACGAUGCAUAGCCGACCGGAGUGGGGGAUAGGCCACACGGGAGCGGAGACACGGUCAAGAGUCCUACGGGAGGGAGCAGAAGGGAAUCUGCCGCAAUGGGCGAAAGCCUGACGGAGCAACGCCGCGUGAGUGAUGAAGGUCCUCGGUUCGGAAAACUGUGUUAUGAGGUAAGAACAGAUGUGUAAGUAACUGUGCACUUCGUGACGGUACCGAAUCAGAAAGCCACGGCUAACUACGUG
This 497-nucleotide ribosomal RNA is filed under the name uncultured bacterium. Its description in RNAcentral is "partial 16S ribosomal RNA". It matches the Rfam family "Bacterial small subunit ribosomal RNA", at positions 28 to 507 of the family's 1533-position model. The record is from RNAcentral.